Molecule: transfer RNA, 69 nt
Filed under: Physeter macrocephalus (sperm whale)
Lineage: Eukaryota; Metazoa; Chordata; Mammalia; Artiodactyla; Physeteridae
Description: Physeter catodon (sperm whale) tRNA
Rfam family: tRNA
About the family: Transfer RNA (tRNA) molecules are approximately 80 nucleotides in length. Their secondary structure includes four short double-helical elements and three loops (D, anti-codon, and T loops). Further hydrogen bonds mediate the characteristic L-shaped molecular structure. tRNAs have two regions of fundamental functional importance: the anti-codon, which is responsible for specific mRNA codon recognition, and the 3' end, to which the tRNAs corresponding amino acid is attached (by aminoacyl-tRNA synthetases). tRNAs cope with the degeneracy of the genetic code in two manners: having more than one tRNA (with a specific anti-codon) for a particular amino acid; and 'wobble' base-pairing, i.e. permitting non-standard base-pairing at the 3rd anti-codon position.
Source: Rfam by way of RNAcentral
GUUCUUGUAGUUGAAUAACAACGGUGACUUUUCAUGUCAUUGGUCGUGGUUUGAGUCCAUGUAGGAAUG